CAUUAUCAUUUGGCAUAUACUCAACAUAAAAAUUAUUAGUGAGCUAUAUUUACAUUCAUUUUUAAAAAUCAUACUAAGUCUAAAAUGGAUGUUUUUUUAUGCUCACGACACAUCUCAGUUUGCACUGGCCACAUUUCCAGUACUGCCACCACAUUGGGCAGUGCAGCUAUAGGAUUUCUUUGUUAGGACAGCUGAUGUCACCUGCAUUUUGUGGGGGAAUAACUGAGCUCACAGAGGGUGCGACUUGCUUGAGCUGCACAGCCAGCAAGGAGCGGGUGGGGCGAGAGCUCGGUCUUCUCUCCACUGAGGUGGCAGGAAACUUGCAUUUGCCUGGUGUCCACUGUGUCCCAGGCACUGGUAGACAUUCUGCCUUUGUCUUUCCAUCUGAUUCUCACAGCAGCCUUGCGUGGUGGCUAGGUAUCGUGCACAUUUUACAGAUGAUCAACAGAGGCUCAGAGAGGCCCGGCCAUUUACCCAAGGCCACACAGUCCAAGGGAGAGUUGGAAUUUGGACCAGCACUUGCUGAUUCCAGAGCCACCUGUUCUCUUUCCUCUGGACAGAGAAAGAGACUUUGCACACAGCAACUUAGGCUAAGUAUUCAAGGAAAGUGAACUCAGGAAUAGGUCUGGCUAUCGGCUGAGCAGAACCGUUGCAUGAAUCAAGUGGGGUGCCACGAUCAACUGUGCUGAAUACCCGGGCAAGUGUGACUUAAAUGUAGGACAGUCUUUUUAUCAUCAGCAAGCCGACGGUACCUCCCCACUCAUCACUCCAAGGCAGCCUGUUGCAUUUUCUUUCAUUCUGAUAAACUCCUUGAGUGGAGCAGA
Molecule: non-coding RNA, 824 nt
Organism: Microcebus murinus (gray mouse lemur)
Lineage: Eukaryota; Metazoa; Chordata; Mammalia; Primates; Cheirogaleidae
Source: RefSeq, a predicted model, not a curated record